RNAcentral lists this ribosomal RNA (468 nucleotides) under uncultured bacterium. Its description in RNAcentral is "partial 16S ribosomal RNA". It matches the Rfam family "Bacterial small subunit ribosomal RNA", at positions 28 to 507 of the family's 1533-position model. The record is from RNAcentral.
GACGAACGCUGGCGGCGUGCUUAACACAUGCAAGUCGAACGGAAAGGCCCUGCUUUUGUGGGGUGCUCGAGUGGCGAACGGGUGAGUAACACGUGAGUAACCUGCCCUUGACUUUGGGAUAACUUCAGGAAACUGGGGCUAAUACCGGAUAAGAGCUCCUGCUGCAUGGUGGGGGCUGGAAAGUUUCGGCGGUUGGGGAUGGACUCGCGGCUUAUCAGCUUGUUGGUGGGGUAGUGGCUUACCAAGGCUUUGACGGGUAGCCGGCCUGAGAGGGUGACCGGCCACAUUGGGACUGAGAUACGGCCCAGACUCCUACGGGAGGCAGCAGUGGGGAAUAUUGCACAAUGGGCGGAAGCCUGAUGCAGCAACGCCGCGUGCGGGAUGACGGCCUUCGGGUUGUAAACCGCUUUCGCCUGUGACGAAGCGUGAGUGACGGUAAUGGGUAAAGAAGCACCGGCUAACUACGUG